Molecule: long non-coding RNA, 388 nt
Filed under: Populus tremula
Lineage: Eukaryota; Viridiplantae; Streptophyta; Magnoliopsida; Malpighiales; Salicaceae
Description: long non-coding RNA (PTRE_LNC002967)
Source: RNAcentral
CGCAGGACUCUUAUCUUCCCCGACGAGAUCGUGUGCGAUAGACGUGGUCCACGAUGGGAUCAACUUCGUUGCAGAUCUUCAGCCUGUUGAAUCGGGAUGCAGAAGACGAACACGACUAUUCCACCAUCAACGACGACGUUUCGGUAGGAAUGGAUUUCACCAGUAACGGCGACGUUUCAAGCAGCCAUGGACAUUUUCAAUUUGACCCCUGGACUUUGGAAAUUCGGCAAUUAGACCCCUAAGCAAUUAAAAGUUUCUUUUAAUUUUUCCCUUUUUGAUUAAUUUCAAUUAAAUCCCUAAAUUAUAACACUAUUUACAAAAUAGUCUUUAAUUUGUGGAUUGUCCCAUUUGGCCCCUUAAUUAAUUAAAUUUUUUACUUUUAAUUCUU